UAAAUUUAUCUUAAAAUAGUUUAGAAAAUGGGAAUGCAUUUAAUCUACAAAUGAGACACUAUUUCAUUGGAGUAAAUUAUAAGCAUCAGUGAUUGCAUUUUUUUUCUUUAAACAGAAGAAGCAGAGUAUCGCAGCAAAUCUCAAACCUGUAGAUGGAUUAUGGGUUUAAUACCUUCUUCGUUUCCUGCAUGAUGACAGGGGGAAAUGAAAAGUGCUAACUUCAUCUCUACAAGAUGUUAAGGUCAGGGUUUUACCAUUUGAGAUCUCUUGAGCAAGGACUGGGACUGGAAUCCCAGAAUACGAGUCCCCACUAACAUAGACUGGAUUCAAAAUGAAGUCUGGAUGAGCCAUCAGCCACUGUAUUCAAAUUUGAAACCUUCUAUUUCAGAUAAAUGAUUACAUUUACAUACACAUGUAACACUGAUUAUCUACUUUAAAUUAAUGGUCGCUGAACCGAAGAAAGCUGACCUUACGAAGAAAUUGAUGGAGAUGGUGAACUUGUUUCAAGUCACCGGUUUGUGCAGCGCGAUUGUUUCUAGCAUAGGAGAAACCUGUGCCUACUGGUGAAUCUAUAAAUACGAUGUUUGACACCUGAAAAUAUAUCAUCAUUGUUCAAGCUUCGUUAUUAGUAAUCUUAAAACAAAAACCACAACAACAACGAUCUGGUUGAGUAGAUGAUAUGAUUUGAUCACCUUUGUCCAUGCGUAUGGGUUGUAAACCAACGUAGGCAAGCUUCCAUUGUACACGUCGACCUUGAAUUUCAAUGGACCUGCAACGCUGAUUUCAAUUUGAUGAUCCUAUUUGGAUAUCAACUUAUCCUCUAAGAUCUGACUUUAGAAACAAAUUUGAUACAUGUUAUUUGUUGAUAAUUUUGAAAAUUUCGGACACAUUAAUAUAAAUGUAAAAUUACUACUCAUCAAAACAAAGGUUAACAUGCAAACAACUUUUAAAUUAAAAAGAAAUUAACUUUUAAAUCUUCAUUAGACCUAAAUUAGUCAUUGUUGAUUAUUGAUUUUGGAAAGAAACAAUUUUUUUUUCAAGUGUUUAAGCAUAUUUCGAAUAUACUGUAUUUUGAUGGUGUCUGAUUUUAUUUCUAGUUGAUAUUUAAUUUUAUUUAUAAUUUUUUUAACAUGUCUUAAAAAAAAUUGACACUUAAACACAAAUCUGACACUUGAACAAUCAUUGUGCUUCACAGUUAGAUAGUCCAUCAAAUAAAAUUCCAUUCAUUCUUGGGUUCUUAGAUAUGAAGCAUCUGGUCGUUAGGGGCACAAAAUUUAGGUUUGCAAUCGGAAGUGUCCCUUUUUCUUUAAGCAAAGAACAUGUAAUUAAGUAUAGUGGAAUAUGGGUGGGAUUACCAAUUUCGUAAACAAGACCAGAGAAGGCAGAGCAGCCAGGGCCACCAGUCAACCAAAACAAAAGAGGGUCGUCUUCAGGUUUCCCCUCCGACUUCACAAAGUAGUAAAAGAGUUGAACUUCUUCUGAAUCACCCACACCAACAUACCUGACAGAAAGCAACAUAUACACCCAUCAAACAACUAUAUAUCUCCACAACCAAAAAGAGGGUAAAAUUUAGGUUACCCGGUUUCAAGUUCAAAAGGAAGAGGUCCUUCAAAUCCUGGAAGAAACUUGACAGCAGAACCAUAAGCCAAAGCGAGCUGAGAAAGAUAGAAGAAAAACAAUAGGAGGGCCAUCUUAUGAUGUGUUAAUGCUGCCACUAACAACUUAGCUCUUCAACCAUGGUAUCUUAUAUUAGUUUCACAUUCAGAACGUACGUGGGAUGAGCUCUUUUGAAUCGUCACAAAACGAGAGCGGCUACACGUUUUUGUUUGUGUUUGUAUUUUAUUUAUGUGAAUAAAGUCAGUGGCUAUGAUGUUUUGGUUUGGCUUUCGUCCAACAUCUUCAAUGGACAUUCUGACAAAAUUGAAGUGAAACAGUCGGGCGGUCAUUGUCUAUCCUUAAUGUUUACAUUUUGUAUACGUGUUUGUAUUUUAAUGAGUCUAGAAUUCAAUCCAUUGUUGAAUUUAAAUGCGUUUGUUUUUUUAUUUAAGAUUUUAAUCCAACCUUUGAACCUAUCCAAUCAUUUUAACUUGGUAAUAAUUUUAAUGUAAGCUUAAUAAGAUAGUAAUUUUUUUUAUAGAAAAUAUAUGAAUUAGAAUUUUUAAAUGAAAAAAUUAAUAGUAUUAUUUUUAAAAAAAUUUUAAAUAGACAAAUUCAAUUUCAAAUUUUGUCAUUGCACAAAAUAUUUUAACUCUUUUUGGGUUUAAUUUGAAACCUUAUUAAAUUGUUUGUUUUUAUAUUAUAUUAUUUUUAGGGUAAAUUAUACUUAAGGUUAUUAAAUUAUUAAUAAAUUUAUGGUCUGUUGUUCAAUUUAAAAAAUUAUAAAAUAGUUAUUGAACUAAUAAAAGAUUUUCAUUUAAGUUACUGAACCAUCUAAACUAAUAAAAUUAAAAACAAGUAGAGUAUAUAUAGGAAAGAGAAAAUGAUCAUUGGAGAAAAAAUGUUGGUCAACUAGCAGAUGGUCCCAACAAUUUAUAUAAUUUUUUUUAAAAAACCCAGCAUUGGAAUGAGACAGCACCACGUGGUGAAAAUGCACUUUGUAAAACGCGUUUUCACUCUCUCUCUUGCAUGUCACUUGAAAGCGCGCUCUACAAGACGCAUUUUUACCCUACCCUGUGCCAUGUCACCUGAAAGCGUGUCUUACACGUCAUGUUUUUACUUUCUCUCUUCAAAAUUGGUCUAUUUCCCUAAUUUCCAAAUAAAACAGCUUAAAAACCUAAUUGGUGUUUUAAACCAAUAUAUAUGCCUAAUUUUGCUAAAUAUGUUAUAAGAAAUAAAUCUCAUAAUUUUUUUUGAAUAUAUAAUUCUCAUAAUUUAUGGUUUAAAAGAAAAAUUAGAAUCACUUCUUUUUACACUUCCUAAUUAUUUUUUUAAACAAAAAUUUCUCAAACAACAAAAUAAACUAUUACUUCUAAUAAUUUUUUUCCACUUUAAUUAAUUUGGAUAAAAGAUUUUAAGCAUAAAACCAAAAAUUUGUCUAGGAUCUGAAAUUAAUUCUGUCAAUCAGACAGGUGAAAUUGAAUUAAGAUUAGUGACUUGAGAGAUUAACUUUGAAUUUAUUUAUUUCCUAUUGCUACUGACAUUGUUGUUAUUUUAUUCACUUUAUUGACAUGCUCUGCUUAUUUCUCCAAUAGGUUGUAACAAUGGUAACUUUUAUUAGAAAGCAGAUAUCGGAAUCGCCAUGGGAUCUGGAACAGCUAUUGCAAAAGUAUGCAUCAUUUGCCUAUCUCAUGUUCAUUUUCAUUUUUUUCAUAAGUGGUAGGAUGUCUAAAAUCAUAAUCUUAUUGAUGCGGUCGUUGAGAGCAUAAAAAAUAUUCUAUUCCCUGUAAAAUAAUGAAAAAGAAUAUUAAAGGGGAAGUAGGGUCGAAUUCUCAGGGAUCGGAUUAUACGAAUUCUUGUUUCUCGAAAUUCUGGGCAGAAUCGUGCCCAAGAAAACCUGCGUGACAGAAAAAGAAUAACAGAAUUAAAUAUUUGAUUCAGAAAAAAUAAAAAACAGAAUCUAAAGUUGACUGAAAUUGUGAUUACAAAAAUAAUAAAAAUAAUAAAAAGAGUUGAAGGAAAAGAAAUUCUUAUUGGUAGAUUCCAGCCUCCAGUUGUCUCAUUCCGCCUUGGGUUCGAUCCUCGGCUUUUAAAUGAUCCUUCUCAACUUAAGUAAGCCAGUUAUAAUGGAAGAGGACGCCUACGACCACCAGCUCCAAAGAUUAGACUUACGAUUUUUAAGGAACCUGACUCUAGCGAGUAAUCUAUGCUAGAUCAACGCUUCUCAAUGGUGAAUCCCACGCCAUUUCGUCUCUUUGGCUCGUCAACCUCUAACGCAGUAAGUUAACGAACCGACUAUGCAAUCCUUCCAAAACAUACAAAGCGGCCGCCUUUGCAUAUGCUGAAAAGCUUACUUCUUAAGGGUCAUGGAUAGAAGCAUCAGCCCAUAGUGCGGAGAAACGACGAAUACUUGGCGAGAAGGCUAAGAACAGAUUCUAGGCCUCAAGAACCCCUUUUUGGGGAAUAUUGACAACUUUCGGCUAAAUAGGUUUUAGUGGCUCAUGAUAAUGGUGGAAAAGAAAAUAAAUAUAAAAAUGGAAAAGGGAAUUUUAUUGAAAGAAAAUAUGAAGAAACAAAAGCCUAAACUUUCAGGGGGAGAGUGUUUACAGAAAAAGAUGAACACCAAAUAGAGUCACUUCACCCCCUAUUUAUAGUGUUAAGGAGAUAGUCUAAUUUAACUUAAAUUCUAAAAAGAUAAAUACAUCUAAUUAAAGAUAAAUAAAAAUAAUUAAAAUAAAAUCCUAAAAUUAAAUAAUCCUAAUAAUUAUCUUAAUAUUAAUGAUCCUAAUAUAAAUAAAAUAGAGUCUUAUAAAAUAAAAUCUCUUCUUUUUGCGUUUUUAGUCCUUGUAUCUUUCAUACUCGCACUUUUGGUACAAUCUUUUUCCUGUGUCGCAUAUCAGCCCAUUGUGUCUCUAAAUUCGCACUUUUGUCCCUUAAUUUUGCUUUUGCCUCCAAAUCAGUCCCUAAUCGAUAAAAAGACAUAAAUAACUCAAAUUAGUAGGAUCAAGCUCAGAAUAAACACAUGAUUAAUACAUAAAAAUACGUUAUUCUAGAGCAUUAUCACUUAUAAAAUACCAAAAAUAUGAGAUCUAUUUUCUACAUUAGUAGGACCAAUAAAUAUCCUUUUCACUCUGAUGUUGUUGAAGUUAAAGUGAUUCCCAUUUUAUCUGAUACAUGUUCACUUUGAUGUUACUUGAUUCUGUCAUAAUCCUCUUUUACCUAUUAUCAGUUCACUAUUGAUUCUGUCAUGGUCUCAGUGCCAGAAGUUGCUUUGAUCAUAAAUCCUUGAAACGUUCUUAUUAAUUUCCCCAGUUUAAAGUUCAAAUUUAAUUGAUGAGUUUCACCUCGGCAGAUAGCAACGAGUUACUAUUACGAAUAACAUGAUUCAUGUCUAUUAUUAUUUUGGUGUUUGUCAAUCACAAAGGUUGCCCUGAUAUCCACCUUCUAAACAUUGCAAAAUAUUCUGCAGGCUUCUUGUCAGGAGCCGUAUGCCCUCCUCCCUACAAAUUCAACCAGACUAUUUAGAGCGUAUAAAUAAAUAAAGAUGAUGAAAAAACAACAAAGCUGUCCAUUAAUUUCCAUUCAAGGACUAUGAACGAAGAAACAUAAGCAGAAGAACAACUUCCGUGCCUUGACACUAGCAAAUGUCAUCCUGUUAGAAUAAGUCCUUGUAUAUCUACACAUUUUGGCCAUCCCAAGAACCUCAAUCAGCUUCUUCUUUACAUCCAAAUUUCAAAUUAAUUAAUUAAUUAAAAUAACUCAGACUGACCCUGCAAUUUGGCCUUGCACCUUCCAUGGUCGCCAGUCAUCAAUAAUUGGAUAGUUCAAAAAUCUUAUCCAUGCUUGAGUUGCCAAGUAUGGCACCACCGUGUCAUGGUCGCCACUGCAUAGAGAUGAAAAACACAACUAUACUUCAACUUUAACAAAUAUAAUUAUCUAUAAUAAAAAUAUGAAUUUGGGUAAACUUUUGAACUGACCUAUAUAGCUUUUGUUUUAUAAGUUUUAUCGUAUUUGUAAGUAAAAAUUUUAAUUUGGGUUCUAUCCAAUGCUAGUAGAGUAAAAAAUUUUCACAAGCGGAUCUAAAAUGAUAUCAAAUAUUUUUUUUAGUUAUUUAAUUAUUAUUUUAUUAUACCCCAAUAACAAAUGACAUCAUUCUAGACCCGUUUGUGGAGUUUUUGUUUUUUACUUUAAUAGGAAAUAGUCCUUUUAAUUUUAAUAAAAUAUUUUUUAAUUAAAUUUACUUCUUAAUAAAAUUUAUCUUACUUAUACAUAAUAAUUUUGAUUCAAUUAAAAGACUUUCAUUAAAUGAAAAAUAAAUUAAAAAAAUUAUUUAUAUUAUUAUGUUUCUAUUAACCAAAAACUAAAAAGGAAAAAAAAAUAUUGUUUUAGUUUUAAAAUAGAAAACUAUAUAUUUCAACUUUGAUUCUCGUUCUAAAUUAAUCUUCAAACUUUAUAACAUUUUAAUUAUAUUAUUAAAAUAUCAAUUUUAUAUUAAUAAGGUCCUUCUAGUACUAAAAUUAUUAAUUUAACCAUUAAAUGAGAGUCAAGAUCUUAUAUAAUAUAAAUUAAAAUGAAAAACUUAAAAGAAAAUUGUAAAAAUAGAUAUGGUAAAAAUAUUGAUUUUAAAGUUUCUGAACCUUUUAUCAAAAAUAAUACUCAAACUUUCAUUAUGUUAGUUCUUUUGACCCAAUCGUUAGUUCUAUUAAAAAAAAAAAUCAUUAUCCAAUCAAAGUUCUCUUUCCGCGCUAAUUCCAUCCUUGCUUUAGCUUCCCACAAGAACAAGUAAUUAGCUCCAAAGUGAUUAUCUCAUAAUAUUGAAAGAAAUGAAAAACUCUCCCUUGAUAUCUAAGGGAAAGAUUAAUUUUGAAACAUAUCAUAAUUUGAUUGAGUAAGAAACUUUUUUAAAUGGAAUCAAACAAUUGGAGCAAAAAUAAUAAUGGAACCAAAGUUUAAGUACCACUUACUAUAAAAUUGAAGGGCUAAUUUUUCAUUUAAGCCUAUUGAAACACUCAUUUGGCAUGAGUUCAAAUCGUGUUAACUCUAUCUCUUAUCGUCAAUAUUGUAUAAAAAAUAAUAUUUGAAUUGUUAUACAAAUUAAUAUAUUUUAAUUAUAUUUAAUCAUAUAAAUAAUAAUAUAUUAUUUAAAAAAUAAAAUCACAAACUAGUAAAAUUAAAUACCCACCUGUAUAUUAAAGCGCGGUAGCCUUUGGCGCUGAGGAUGGCAUGAUAUGGAAAGCUAGUUGGAACAUCAGAGUCAUAAGGGAAUUCAAGAUUGCACCGCAGCCAUUUUGCUAUGCUUCCCUAAAUCAAAUCACAACAGUUGCUUCUUUUAAUUGUACAAAAACACGCAACUGCUUAGAAGUAUUGUUGAGACAUAUCAAUUGAACCAACGACGUAAUACCUUCCUAAUUUGGAGAGUGUUUCGGACAUCAGCAUCGAUAGCCCAAUAAAGACAAAGGUAUAAUUCGUAAGUCUGCGGGCAAAGAAGUUAAAAAUCAAUCAAAUUUAAGUGCAGGAAUGGAGAGCCUAAAAUAGUGGGCAUUUUCAAAAAACAUGUGUUGUAGUUCAUCUUUAAAGAGUUGGUGUCCAUCAAGAUAACGCCUUCGACUGGUUUUUCUUUAUUUUACGACAUUCCAACCACAAUUAGGUCUUAAAAUAUGAACUUUGUUGAUUCCUGAUGUAGACUGAAAAUUGCAAGAUUAUCAAACAAAUUCCUUUUAAAUUUAUUAAGGAAAGGCACUUUUAUGUAUAUACUUCAUCCAAGUAUCGAACAUCUGCCAAACACGCUUUGUUAUCGGGAUCUAUAUUUUGAUAUUCUCCCUUACAAUUUUUUUUCUAAUGACUGGAAAAAAAUAAAGUCAAUAACUUAAUGCUUGGUAACAAUCUUGUUUUCUUGGGCGGUGGAAAAAUGUGGAUUAGAUAAAGAUAAUUUCACCUCAUAAAGUUCGUCAGAAAUUAUUCCCAUUCUAUGAACAUAUGAAAUCAUGAAGUUUUCUUCAAGAUUACGUCUUGUUAUGGGAUUUCUCAGCAUGUAUCCCUAAAAAGCAAUUAGGAAAUUAAUAUUGUCAAGUGAAUUCCAACAAUAUAAGCCUGUUCAUGUUAAAUAUCAGUACUAUCUAUGAGAAGACAUUAUUUCAAUGCUAGUAUAUAGACACUGUGCAACCUCAACUCAUGAACCGAAUGUAUCAAAUUGGAUAAAUGAACAGACACAUAAAAUUUCAUAAAAUAUUUAUAUACUUUUUUAAAUAUGAAUUAGUGUGGAUUGCAAUGUAAAUCUUUUUUUUUCUUGGUUCAAGGGAUAAACUUAGGAAAAAUAAUAAUAAAACCCUUUUACGAAAAGACAAAAAAUAUUAGUAAAAGAGUUUAAUUAAUAUAAUUUGAAAUCAGUUUUUUUAUGGAAAGACUGAAUUGAUUUUUUCUCCAAAUUUCGGUGAUUACAUUCUCAUCUAUCCUUCCAAUUAAAGAUAUUAAUAUGCAAGGAUUCUUAAUUGUUAUUUGUUUCCUCAAGACUUAAUAGCCAAUAAAUUUAUCUUAAAAUAGUUUAGGAAAUGGGAAUGCGUUUAAUCUACAAAUUUUAAGCACCAAUGAUCGCAUUUAUUUUCAAAAACGAAAGAAGCAGAGUAUCGCAGCAGAUAUCAAACCUGUAGAUGGAUUAUGGGUUUGAUACCUUCGUUUCGUGCAUGAUGAAGGGGGAAAAUGAAAGUGCUAACUUCAUCUCUACAAGAUGUUAAGGUCAGGGUUUUACCAUUUGAGAUCUCUUGAGCAAGGACUGGGACUGGAAUCCCAGAAUACGAGUCCCCACUAACAUAGACUGG
Molecule: long non-coding RNA, 8411 nt
Filed under: Gossypium barbadense (sea-island cotton)
Lineage: Eukaryota; Viridiplantae; Streptophyta; Magnoliopsida; Malvales; Malvaceae
Description: long non-coding RNA (GBAR_LNC003901)
Source: RNAcentral